Molecule: ribosomal RNA, 479 nt
Filed under: uncultured bacterium
Lineage: Bacteria
Description: bacterial SSU rRNA
Rfam family: Bacterial small subunit ribosomal RNA
Source: RNAcentral
GAGCGAACGGAUUANGAGCUUGCUCUUAUGAAGUUAGCGGCGCACGGGUGAGUACACGUGGGUAACCUGCCCAUAAUAUGGGAUAACUCCGGGAAACCGGGGCUAAUACCGGUAUAACAUUUUGCACUGCAUGGUGCGAAAUUGAAAGGCGGCUUCGGCUGUCACUUAUGGAUGGACCCGCGUCGCAUUAGCUAGUUGGUGAGGUAACGGCUCACCAAGGCAACGAUGCGUAGCCGACCUGAGAGGGUGAUCGGCCACACUGGGACUGAGACACGGCCCAUACUCCUACGGGAGGCAGCAGUAGGGAAUCUUCCGCAAUGGACGAAAGUCUGACGGAGCAACGCCGCGUGAGUGAUGAACGCUUUCGGGUCGUAAAACUCUGUUGUUAGGGAAGAACAAGUGCUAGUUGAAUAAGCUGGCACCUUGACGGUACCUAACCAGAAAGCCACGGCUAGCUACGUGCCAGCAGCCGCGGUAAU